GUGCCAGCAGCCGCGGAUAAUACGGAGGGUGCAAGCGUUAAUCGGAAUUACUGGGCCGUAAAGCGCACGCAGGCGGUCUGAUCAAGUCAGAUGUGAAAUCCCCGGGCUUAACCUGGGAACUGCAUUUGAAACUGGCAGGCUUGAGUCUUGUAGAGGGGGGGUAGAAUUCCAGGUGUAGCGGUGAAAUGCGUAGAGAUCUGGAGGAAUACCGGUGGCGAAAGGCGGCCCCCUGGACAAAGACUGACGCUCAGGUGCGAAAGCGUGGGGAGCAAACAGGAUUAGAUACCCUGGUAGUCC
RNAcentral lists this ribosomal RNA (297 nucleotides) under uncultured microorganism. RNAcentral describes it as "partial 16S ribosomal RNA". It matches the Rfam family "Bacterial small subunit ribosomal RNA", at positions 505 to 796 of the family's 1533-position model. The record is from RNAcentral.